This 85-nucleotide transfer RNA is filed under the name Planctomycetes bacterium ADurb.Bin126. Its description in RNAcentral is "tRNA-Ser". It matches the Rfam family "tRNA". From Rfam's summary of the family: Transfer RNA (tRNA) molecules are approximately 80 nucleotides in length. Lineage: Bacteria; Pseudomonadati; Planctomycetota. The record is from RNAcentral.
GCGGCCGUGGCGGAAUUGGCAGACGCGUAAGGUUCAGGUCCUUAUGCCCAAUAGGGCGUGAAGGUUCGACUCCUUUCGGCCGCAC